UGUUCCAUCUGAUGUUUGGACGUGUUUGGAGUUUCUUCCUUCUGGUGGGUUCCUGAUCUCGCUGGCUUCAGCAGUGAAGUUGCAGACCUUCACGCUUUGAGAACUAGAUUAAGUAAUUCCUGCAAGGCAAACCAAGUGAUGAUGAGCUCUCUCAGCUUCUGUUUGUCUGAUAAACUUUCUAUUCUCUCUCACUUCUGAAGGAAAGCUUUGCCAGGGUUUCAUUCAUUUUAAAGCUAACAGAAAAACAACAGAUUUUUAUAAUUAAGUUCCUGAGAAACCAUGAUAAAUACAGCAUUACACAUACUGUCGAUGAUAUUUUGGAUUUUGUAAGACACCAGAGAUCAAAACAUGCCAAAUUGGACUUCUUGUCAUUGUCUAUACAAACAAAACUCACAGACAUCAAAGCCACUAUGACCAUGCUGCUGAUGCAAGGACUGGUGUGUGCAAGAAAGUUUGUAUUUGGAACCAUCUCUAUCUUACACUUUUCAAAGUAAGAUAACCUAGGUACUUCCUACUUAAAACUCACAUGUCAAUAUGUUUUUGUGCUUCUCAAAACCUUCCUGGGCUAAGGCACAUGGAGCAAAUGUUAAUUUGCUCAAGAGUCCUGUCCUUUGCCUGUGUUUGUUACCAUUAAACUAUGACAUGGGCAUCAUGGCUUCUCCUGAAGUCAUUGUUUAUGCUUUCAUCAUAUUAUUCUCCCUUGCAAAUGCUAUUGUUCCUGAGUAUAAUAAAUCACCGGAUUUCCUUAUCGCAA
Long non-coding RNA from Homo sapiens (human), 754 nucleotides. RefSeq lists it as uncharacterized. NCBI's taxonomy places the organism in Eukaryota, Metazoa, Chordata, Mammalia, Primates, Hominidae. The transcript is spliced from 3 exons. The record is from RefSeq and is a predicted model, not a curated record.